UAACUACAGCAGUGAGGAAUAUUGGUCAAUGGCCUAGCGGCUGAACCAGCAACUUGGAGGAAUGUAUAGAAAAAGCUGGUAAAAAGUGAUGUAUCUACAAGUAUUAGUGAUUAAUAUGAGAUUAACUAAGUUAAUUAAAAUUCUAUGUAAAUAUCUGAUUAUGACAGUAUUUGCUUAUGUCUUGACCAAAUCACGUGCCAGCAGUCGCGGUAAGACGUGGAAGAUAAGUGUUAUUCAUGUUUAAUAGGUUUAAAGGGUACCUAGACGGCUAAUUAAACACUUUAAUGUAUUAAUUAACUAGAGUUUGAUAUAAGAAGGUUUGAGUACGGUGAGUGUAGAGAUAAAAUUCUAUUAGACCAUUAUGGAACUGGUAAAGGCGAAGGCAACCUUCUAUGUAAAAACUGACGUUAAGGGACGAAGGCUCGUAAAAAAAAACAGGAUUAGAUACCCUGGUAUUCUGGGCAGACAAUGAUGAGUGUCAUAUGCAAGAAAAAAAUUUUGUGUAUAAACGAAAGUGUAAGCACUCCACCUCAAGAGUAACAUGGCAACAUGGGAACUGAAAUCAUUAGACCGUUUCUGAAACUCGUAGUGAAGUAUGUUGUUUAAUUUGAUAAUCCACAAAUAACCUUACCACAACUUGAAUUACUUUAGUUAGCUGAAGUAACAAGCGUUGCACGGCUGUCUCCAGUCAAUGUUGUGAAACCGUGGUUUGAUCCAUUUAAAUGACGUAAACCCUCACUCCACUUACUGUGGAGUGGUUCGCCGCUAUAUUGGUAGUGAUAUAUGGGACUAAGAAUAGUCAUCAUGACCUGAACGUUGUGGGCUAUAGACGUGCCACAUAUGCCUUAACAAAAAGAUGCAACUGUGCAAUUUAAGCAUACCUAUAAAAAAACGAACUAAAUAUGGAAUUGCAGUCUGGGUAACUCCGCAAA
Molecule: ribosomal RNA, 932 nt
Filed under: Thelotrema lepadinum
Lineage: Eukaryota; Fungi; Ascomycota; Lecanoromycetes; Ostropales; Graphidaceae
Description: SSU rRNA
Rfam family: Bacterial small subunit ribosomal RNA
Source: RNAcentral